AAUAGAUACCCGGGUAGUCCACGCCGUAAACGAUGAGUGCUAAGUGUUAGAGGGUUUCCGCCCUUUAGUGCUGCAGCUAACGCAUUAAGCACUCCGCCUGGGGAGUACGGUCGCAAGACUGAAACUCAAAGGAAUUGACGGGGGCCCGCACAAGCGGUGGAGCAUGUGGUUUAAUUCGAAGCAACGCGAAGAACCUUACCAGGUCUUGACAUCCUCUGACAACUCUAGAGAUAGAGCGUUCCCCUUCGGGGGACAGAGUGACAGGUGGUGCAUGGUUGUCGUCAGCUCGUGUCGUGAGAUGUUGGGUUAAGUCCCGCAACGAGCGCAACCCUUGAUCUUAGUUGCCAGCAUUCAGUUGGGCACUCUAAGGUGACUGCCGGUGACAAACCGGAGGAAGGUGGGGAUGACGUCAAAUCAUCAUGCCCCUUAUGACCUGGGCUACACACGUGCUACAAUGGAUGGUACAAAGGGCUGCAAGACCGCGAGGUCAAGCCAAUCCCAUAAAACCAUUCUCAAUUCGGAUUGUAGG
This 529-nucleotide ribosomal RNA is filed under the name uncultured bacterium. RNAcentral describes it as "bacterial SSU rRNA". It matches the Rfam family "Bacterial small subunit ribosomal RNA", at positions 777 to 1304 of the family's 1533-position model. The record is from RNAcentral.